Molecule: ribosomal RNA, 257 nt
Filed under: uncultured bacterium
Lineage: Bacteria
Description: partial 16S ribosomal RNA
Rfam family: Bacterial small subunit ribosomal RNA
Source: RNAcentral
GACGUAGGGCGCGAGCGUUGUCCGGAAUUAUUGGGCGUAAAGAGCUCGUAGGCGGUUUGUCGCGUCGGCUGUUGAAAAACCUGAGGCUCAACCUCAGGCCUGCAGUCGAUACGGGCGGACUUGAGUACUGCAGGGGAGACUGGAAUUCCUGGUGUAGCGGUGAAAUGCGCAGAUAUCAGGAGGAACACCGGUGGCGAAGGCGGGUCUCUGGGCAGUAACUGACGCUGGAGGAGCGAAAGCGUGGGGGAGCGAACAGG